This 73-nucleotide transfer RNA is filed under the name Delftia acidovorans. It matches the Rfam family "tRNA". Rfam says of the family: Transfer RNA (tRNA) molecules are approximately 80 nucleotides in length. Their secondary structure includes four short double-helical elements and three loops (D, anti-codon, and T loops). Further hydrogen bonds mediate the characteristic L-shaped molecular structure. tRNAs have two regions of fundamental functional importance: the anti-codon, which is responsible for specific mRNA codon recognition, and the 3' end, to which the tRNAs corresponding amino acid is attached (by aminoacyl-tRNA synthetases). tRNAs cope with the degeneracy of the genetic code in two manners: having more than one tRNA (with a specific anti-codon) for a particular amino acid; and 'wobble' base-pairing, i.e. permitting non-standard base-pairing at the 3rd anti-codon position. The record is from RNAcentral. Lineage: Bacteria; Pseudomonadati; Pseudomonadota; Betaproteobacteria; Burkholderiales; Comamonadaceae. RNAcentral also lists the same sequence under 6 other names.
UCCUCGUUAGUCUAGAUGGUCAGGAUACCAGGUUUUCACCCUGGCGACCCGGGUUCGAUUCCCGGACGAGGAA